AGCCAUUAGAUGAUAUUUAUGGUUAAACCUGCCCAAUGUGAAUAUUAAUGGCCGCGGUACCCUGACCGUGCUAAGGUAGCGUAAUCAGUUGGCUUUUAAAUGGAGUCAGGAAUGAAUGGGAAAACCGGGUCUAACUGUCUCCUAGCUAUUUUUUUGAAUUUACUGUUUAAGUGAAAAAGCUUGAAGUUGAUAAAGGGACGAGAAGACCCUUAGAAUUUUUUUUAAUGUAUAAAUAUUUCUACAAUAAUUUUGUUGGGGCGACAGAGAAAUAACUAUAACUUUCUUUAGAUACAAGCCGAUUUUGUUAAGUGAGGAUAAAUUACCUGAGGGAUAACAGCAUAAUUCUACAAUUGAGUUUGUGACCUCGAUGUUGGACUAGGAAACUAACAGGCUAGCCGUUUGUUGUGUGGGUUCUGUUCGAACUUUAAUUCCUA
RNAcentral lists this ribosomal RNA (434 nucleotides) under Ziminella abyssa. RNAcentral's name for it is "partial 16S ribosomal RNA". It matches the Rfam family "Bacterial large subunit ribosomal RNA", at positions 1829 to 2598 of the family's 2925-position model. The record is from RNAcentral. Lineage: Eukaryota; Metazoa; Mollusca; Gastropoda; Nudibranchia; Paracoryphellidae.